AUUAAACGCUGGCGGCAUGCCUUACACAUGCAAGUCGAACGGCAGCACGGGGGCAACCCUGGUGGCGAGUGGCGGACGGGUGAGUAAAGCAUCGGAACGUAUCCUGGAGUGGGGGGAUAACGUAGCGAAAGUUACGCUAAUACCGCAUAUUCUGUGAGCAGGAAAGCAGGGGAUCGCAAGACCUUGCGCUCUGGGAGCGGCCGAUGUCGGAUUAGCUAGUUGGUGGGGUAAAGGCCUACCAAGGCGACGAUCCGUAGCGGGUCUGAGAGGAUGAUCCGCCACACUGGGACUGAGACACGGCCCAGACUCCUACGGGAGGCAGCAGGUGGGGAAUUUUGGACAAUGGGCGGAAGCCUGAUCCAGCCAUGCCGCGUGAGUGAAGAA
Molecule: ribosomal RNA, 384 nt
Filed under: uncultured bacterium
Lineage: Bacteria
Description: bacterial SSU rRNA
Rfam family: Bacterial small subunit ribosomal RNA
Source: RNAcentral